AAGUCUCAACCUUACUGGCUAUUGUUUAUGGGCUAGUUUGGCUUGGAUUUGUGGAAGUUGCUAGUCAUUCUGUGAUUUAAGCUCUUCUUAAAAGCAUUAGCGAAUUCACUGCUAAAUCUCCUUGAUAUGAUAACUAUCAAUAUCCUUGGGAUUAUGUAUAUAAAUUUGCUUCUAAAUUGUCUCCAUGAGACCUAGUGUUUGACAA
This 205-nucleotide unclassified non-coding RNA is filed under the name uncultured Entoloma. RNAcentral describes it as "partial internal transcribed spacer 2". The record is from RNAcentral. Lineage: Eukaryota; Fungi; Basidiomycota; Agaricomycetes; Agaricales; Entolomataceae.